Molecule: signal recognition particle RNA, 278 nt
Filed under: Caldifarciminota bacterium
Lineage: Bacteria; Pseudomonadati; Caldifarciminota
Description: candidate division WOR-3 bacterium signal recognition particle sRNA large type
Rfam family: Bacterial large signal recognition particle RNA
About the family: The signal recognition particle (SRP) is a universally conserved ribonucleoprotein involved in the co-translational targeting of proteins to membranes. Archaeal SRP consists of a 7S RNA and homologues of the eukaryotic SRP19 and SRP54 proteins. In most bacteria, the SRP consists of a 4.5S RNA and the Ffh protein (a homologue of the eukaryotic SRP54 protein).
Source: RNAcentral
UCGUGCUAGACGGGGAGCUAGCGGUGCCUUGAAAUCCCUCCGGGAUGACCCGAAAUCCGCUUAUGCGGGGUCGAAUACUCCAUAUGAGGCGAUACUUCCAGGGGCAACAGUGAGGUUCUGAAGGAUGUUGAGGACCGGGUCUCAUGAUGGUACCGACUACGAACUCCGUCAGGUCUGGAAAGAAGCAGCGGUAAGUAGGAACGGGCUGGUUGUGAGGGCGCCUGGUUUGAGUUCUUCGCCCCACUGUUCCUGAAAGGCUCGACAAAGGGAGCGCGCGC